GAUGAACGCUGGCGGCGUGCCUAAUACAUGCAAGUCGAGCGAACGGACGAGAAGCUUGCUUCUCUGAUGUUAGCGGCGGACGGGUGAGUAACACGUGGAUAACCUACCUAUAAGACUGGGAUAACUUCGGGAAACCGUAGCUAAUACCGGAUAAUAUUUUGAACCGCAUGGUUCAAAAGUGAAAGACGGUCUUGCUGUCACUUAUAGAUGGAUCCGCGCUGCAUUAGCUAGUUGGUAAGGUAACGGCUUACCAAGGCAACGAUGCAUAGCCGGCCUGAGAGGGCGAUCGGCCACACUGGAACUGAGACACGGUCCAGACUCCUACGGGAGGCAGCAGUAGGGAAUCUUCCGCAAUGGGCGAAAGCCUGACGGAGCAACGCCGCGUGAGUGAUGAAGGUCUUCGGAUCGUAAAACUCUGUUAUUAGGGAAGAACAUAUGUGUAAGUAACUGUGCACAUCUUGACGGUACCUAAUCAGAAAGCCACGGCUAACUACGUG
Molecule: ribosomal RNA, 497 nt
Filed under: uncultured bacterium
Lineage: Bacteria
Description: partial 16S ribosomal RNA
Rfam family: Bacterial small subunit ribosomal RNA
Source: RNAcentral